RNAcentral lists this ribosomal RNA (492 nucleotides) under uncultured bacterium. RNAcentral's name for it is "partial 16S ribosomal RNA". It matches the Rfam family "Bacterial small subunit ribosomal RNA", at positions 29 to 507 of the family's 1533-position model. The record is from RNAcentral.
AGUGAACGCUGGCGGUAGGCCUAACACAUGCAAGUCGAACGGCAGCACAGUAAGAGCUUGCUCUUACGGGUGGCGAGUGGCGGACGGGUGAGGAAUACAUCGGAAUCUACUUUUUCUUGGGGGAUAACGUAGGGAAACUUACGCUAAUACCGCAUACGACCUACGGGUGAAAGCAGGGGAUCUUCCGACCUUGCGCGAUUGAAUGAGCCGAUGUCGGAUUAGCUAGUUGGCGGGGUAAAGGCCCACCAAGGCGACGAUCCGUAGCUGGUCUGAGAGGAUGAUCAGCCACACUGGAACUGAGACACGGUCCAGACUCCUACGGGAGGCAGCAGUGGGGAAUAUUGGACAAUGGGCGCAAGCCUGAUCCAGCCAUACCGCGUGGGUGAAGAAGGCCUUCGGGUUGUAAAGCCCUUUUGUUGGGAAAGAAAAGCAGCAGGUUAAUACCCCGCUGUUCUGACGGUACCAAAAGAAUAAGCACCGGCUAACUUCGUG